GGGGAUGUAACGGGUUCGACGGAGGCGCCGAGGCCGGAAAAGCGGGCAGAUGCGCCUGACAUCUAUAAAACGGGCAAACUUAAAAUUAACUGACAACGAUUACGUUGCACCGGUAGCCGCUUAAGGCUGCCCGUCCUCUCCGAGAGGUCCACGGCUCGGAUGCAGGGCGUGACUUAGUGGAGACCGUGAGCGCGGAAAGCUUUGACCGCACCACGCAUCAUGAAGCUACCGAACCGGAGCGCCUGCCGUUUUGCGCCCGGGGCUGGGAACAGGGCUUAACGCCCGUAUAAGCGGCUGCGCCCGGAGAAGUUCCGUAGGAAGUGCUUUCGGACAGGGGUUCGACUCCCCUCAUCUCCACCA
RNAcentral lists this transfer-messenger RNA (360 nucleotides) under Oscillospiraceae. Its description in RNAcentral is "RUG678 sp900321335 Standard tmRNA". It matches the Rfam family "transfer-messenger RNA". Rfam says of the family: Bacterial tmRNA, also known as 10Sa RNA or SsrA, is named for its dual tRNA and mRNA-like properties. Its role is to liberate the mRNA from a stalled ribosome. To accomplish this part of the tmRNA is used as a reading frame that ends in a translation stop signal. The record is from RNAcentral. RNAcentral also lists the same sequence under 1 other name. Lineage: Bacteria; Bacillati; Bacillota; Clostridia; Eubacteriales.